Molecule: ribosomal RNA, 425 nt
Filed under: uncultured bacterium
Lineage: Bacteria
Description: bacterial SSU rRNA
Rfam family: Bacterial small subunit ribosomal RNA
Source: RNAcentral
GGGGAAUUGUUCGCAAUGGGCGCAAGCCUGACGACGCAACGCCGCGUGGAGGAUGAAGGUCUUCGGAUUGUAAACUCCUGUUGAUCGGGACGAACAACCAUCGGGAUAACACCCCGGAGGUCUGACGGUACCGAAUGAGGAAGCCCCGGCUAACUCUGUGCCAGCAGCCGCGGUAAUACAGAGGGGGCAAGCGUUGUUCGGAAUUACUGGGCGUAAAGGGCGCGUAGGCGGCUAGGUAAGUCAAAGGUGAAAUCCCUCGGCUCAACUGAGGAACUGCCUUUGAAACUGCCUAGCUUGAGGCCGGGAGGGGGUGGCGGAAUUCCCAGUGUAGCGGUGAAAUGCGUAGAUAUUGGGAGGAACACCAGUGGCGAAGGCGGCCACCUGGACCGGUUCUGACGCUGAUGCGCGAAAGCGUGGGUAGCAAA